This 381-nucleotide ribosomal RNA is filed under the name uncultured bacterium. RNAcentral describes it as "bacterial SSU rRNA". It matches the Rfam family "Bacterial small subunit ribosomal RNA", at positions 28 to 409 of the family's 1533-position model. The record is from RNAcentral.
GACGAACGCUGGCGGCGUGCUUAACACAUGCAAGUCGAACGGUGACCCAGGGCUUGCCCUGGUGAUCAGUGGCGAACGGGUGAGUAACACGUGGGCAACCUGCCCCUGACUUCGGGAUAACUCCUCGAAAGAGGAGCUAAUACCGGAUACGACCACUUCGGACAUCCGAUGGUGGUGGAAAGUUUUUCGGUCAGGGAUGGGCCCGCGGCCUAUCAGCUAGUUGGUGGGGUAAUGGCCUACCAAGGCGACGACGGGUAGCCGGCCUGAGAGGGCGACCGGCCACACUGGGACUGAGACACGGCCCAGACUCCUACGGGAGGCAGCAGUGGGGAAUAUUGCGCAAUGGGCGAAAGCCUGACGCAGCGACGCCGCGUGAGGGAU